GACGAACGCUGGCGGCGUGCUUAACACAUGCAAGUCGAACGAUGAAGCCGGAGCUUGCUCUGGUGAAUUAGUGGCGAACGGGUGAGUAACACGUGAGUAACCUGCCCUUGACUCUGGGAUAACUGCGGGAAACUGUAGCUAAUACCGGAUACGACCCUCGGAGGCAUCUCCUGGGGGUGGAAAGAAUUUCGGUCAAGGAUGGACUCGCGGCCUAUCAGCUAGUUGGUGAGGUAAAGGCUCACCAAGGCGACGACGGGUAGCCGGCCUGAGAAGGUGACCGGCCACACGGGGACUGAGACACGGCCCAGACUCCUACGGGAGGCAGCAGUGGGGAAUAUUGCACAAUGGGCGCAAGCCUGAAGCAGCAACGCCGCGUGAGGGAUGACGGCCUUCGGGUUGUAAACCUCUUUUAGCAGGGAAGAAGCGAAAGUGACGGUACCUGCAGAAAAAGCACCGGCUAACUACGUGCCAGCAGCCGCAGUAA
Molecule: ribosomal RNA, 484 nt
Filed under: uncultured bacterium
Lineage: Bacteria
Description: partial 16S ribosomal RNA
Rfam family: Bacterial small subunit ribosomal RNA
Source: RNAcentral